Molecule: ribosomal RNA, 556 nt
Filed under: uncultured Alphaproteobacteria bacterium
Lineage: Bacteria; Pseudomonadati; Pseudomonadota; Alphaproteobacteria
Description: bacterial SSU rRNA
Rfam family: Bacterial small subunit ribosomal RNA
Source: RNAcentral
GGCGGCAGGCUUAACACAUGCAAGUCGAGCGCCUGUAGCAAUACAGGAGCGGCAGACGGGAGAGUAACACGUGGGAACAUGCCCUUCGGUUCGGAAUAACUCAGGGAAACUUGAGCUAAUACCGGAUACGUCCGUAAGGAGAAAGUUUUAUCGCCGAAGGAUUGGCCCGCGUCCGAUUAGCUAGUUGGUGAGGUAAUGGCUCACCAAGGCGACGAUCGGUAGCUGGUCUGAGAGGAUGAUCAGCCUCAUUGGGACUGAGACACGGCCCAAACUCCUACGGGAGGCAGCAGUGGGGAAUAUUGGACAAUGGGCGCAAGCCUGAUCCAGCCAUGCCGCGUGGGUGAUGAAGGCCUUAGGGUUGUAAAGCCCUUUCGGCGGGGAAGAUAAUGACGGUACCCGCAGAAGAAGCCCCGGCUAACUUCGUGCCAGCAGCCGCGGUAAUACNAAGGGGGCUAGCGUUGCUCGGAAUCACUGGGCGUAAAGCGCACGUAGGCGGACUCUUAAGUCGGUGGUGAAAUCCUGGAGCUCAACUCCAGAACUGCCUUCGAUACUGGGA